This 468-nucleotide ribosomal RNA is filed under the name uncultured bacterium. RNAcentral's name for it is "partial 16S ribosomal RNA". It matches the Rfam family "Bacterial small subunit ribosomal RNA", at positions 28 to 507 of the family's 1533-position model. The record is from RNAcentral.
GACGAACGCUGGCGGCGUGCUUAACACAUGCAAGUCGAACGGAAAGGCCCGGCGUUUGUUGGGUGCUCGAGUGGCGAAGGGGGGAGUAACACGUGAGGAACCUGCCCCUGUCUUUGUGAUAACUUCAGGAAACUGGGGCUAAUACCGGAUAGGAUCUCCUGCUGCAUGGGGGGGGUUGGAGAGUUUCGGCUGUUGGGGAUGGACUCGCGGCUUAUCAGCUUGUUGGUGUGGUAGGUGCGUACCAAGGCUUUGACGGGUAGCCGGCCUGAGAGGGUGACCGGCCACAUUGCGACUGAGAUACGGCCCAGACUCCUACGGGCCGCAGCAGUGGAGAAUAUUGCACAAUGGGCGGAAGCCUGAUGCAGCAACGCCGCGUGCGGGAUGACGGCCUUCGGGUUGUAAACAGAUUUCGCCUGUGCCGAAGCGUGAGUGACGGUAAUGGGUAAAGAAGCCACGGCUAACUACGUG